GGCAGCGGGAUUGAAGCUUGCUUCAAUUGCCGGCGACCGGCGCACGGGUGAGUAACGCGUAUCCAACCUUCCGCUUACUCGGGGAUAGCCUUUCGAAAGAAAGAUUAAUACCCGAUUGUAUCUUAAGCACGCAUGAGAUUAAGAUUAAAGAUUUAUCGGUAAGCGAUGGGGAUGCGUUCCAUUAGGCAGUUGGCGGGGUAACGGCCCACCAAACCUACGAUGGAUAGGGGUUCUGAGAGGAAGGUCCCCCACAUUGGAACUGAGACACGGUCCAAACUCCUACGGGAGGCAGCAGUGAGGAAUAUUGGUCAAUGGGCGAGAGCCUGAACCAGCCAANNGUAGCGUGAAGGAUGACGGCCCUACGGGUUGUAAACUUCUUUUGUGCGGGAAUAAAGGAGCCUACGUGUAGGCUUUUGCAUGUACCGUAACGAAUAAGCAUCGGCUAACUCCGUGCCAGCAGCCGCGGGGNUAAAUACGGAGGGAUGCGAGCGUUAUCCGGAUUUAUUGGGUUUAAAGGGAGCGUAGACGGGUUUUUAAGGUCCAGCUUGUGAAAGUUUGGGGCUCAA
Molecule: ribosomal RNA, 566 nt
Filed under: uncultured Bacteroidales bacterium
Lineage: Bacteria; Pseudomonadati; Bacteroidota; Bacteroidia; Bacteroidales
Description: bacterial SSU rRNA
Rfam family: Bacterial small subunit ribosomal RNA
Source: RNAcentral